GAUGAACGCUGGCGGCGUGCCUAAUACAUGCAAGUCGAGCGAACAGACGAGGAGCUUGCUCCUCUGACGUUAGCGGCGGACGGGUGAGUAACACGUGGAUAACCUACCUAUAAGACUGGGAUAACUUCGGGAAACCGGAGCUAAUACCGGAUAAUAUAUUGAACCGCAUGGUUCAAUAGUGAAAGACGGUUUUGCUGUCACUUAUAGAUGGAUCCGCGCCGCAUUAGCUAGUUGGUAAGGUAACGGCUUACCAAGGCAACGAUGCGUAGCCGACCUGAGAGGGUGGUCAGCCACACUAGAACUGAGACACGGUCCAGACUCCUACGGGAGGCAGCAGUAGGGAAUCUUCCGCAAUUGGCGAUAGCCUUACGGAGCAACGCCGCGUGAGUUAUGAAGGUCUUCGGAUCGUAAAACUCUGUUAUUAGGGAAGAACAAAUUUGUAAGUAACUAUGCACGUCUUGACGGUACCUAAUCAGAAAGCCACGGCUAACUACGUU
RNAcentral lists this ribosomal RNA (497 nucleotides) under uncultured bacterium. RNAcentral describes it as "partial 16S ribosomal RNA". It matches the Rfam family "Bacterial small subunit ribosomal RNA", at positions 28 to 507 of the family's 1533-position model. The record is from RNAcentral.